AUGAUUACAGUAAGAGAAGUCAAGAAAGAUGAAAGUCUAAAAUAAGCUGAGGCGAGCAAAAAAAGAAAAAGAGAGUAGAACAGGAGGUCUCAGCAGCACAGCGGAACAGCAUUUAGAGGAAUAAGGGCAUUGGCAAGUGACAAGAGGCCCAGGAGCCUUUAAGGGGCAUCAUGAGUGAGCUCACAGUUUCGUGUAGAGUGCAGCAGCAAAUGAAUUAUGUACCCAGGCAACUUGCAAAUGAGAUUCUGCAGUCAUUACUGGUUGAAAUUGGAAGAAUCUCAGAGAAUGGAAGAUGAGCUGAAAAAGAAAUGCUGGAACACAUUAAGACUCAAUGGUGGGAGAAAAUCAUCAGCAGAGCGUGCUGGAACCGUGGUUUCCUGGGGACCACUCUUCCUCAGGAGCGGACCCAGUGUUCUCAGCGAAGGCCCAUCAGGAAACAAAGCAGCCCUGCAUUCAGCUGGGAAAGGUG
This is a long non-coding RNA of Meriones unguiculatus (Mongolian gerbil), 469 nucleotides long. RefSeq lists it as uncharacterized. The transcript is spliced from 3 exons. Lineage: Eukaryota; Metazoa; Chordata; Mammalia; Rodentia; Muridae. The record is from RefSeq and is a predicted model, not a curated record.